AUAUAUCUAUUUUAUUUAAACUGAAGUAUAAAAUAUUAUUUUCCUAUUUUAAGUGGUUUCUUAAAGAUUUUCAUUCAUUUUUAACCAAUUCGGACCAUUUCAUUUAUUACAAUUUCUAAUUAAUUCGACAUCAUUUAUUACAAAGUACUAAACAUAACUUACCUAUUUUAAAAUGUUUUAUUAUAUCUUCUUUUUUCACCUUUCGUAACUAUUUCAUUAAUUGUAUUUACUAUAAUAAUUCACAUCAUUUAUUUUACAUGUUAACCAUAAUAGUUUUAUAGGUUUGAAUGAAAUUUUUUACUCGUGACAAAAAUUCAAGCAGGUUAACGAAUCAUUUUUAUUUGUUCACUGAACCAGUUAUAUGUGCAUCCAAGUACACAUUAAUUCGAGUAUGGAUAGUUUUUUGAUAUCGAGUUUUUAUGGGUCUUAAAAUUAAGCUCCAUUCGAAUAUUAUAAAUUUUUGAAUGGGGUUCGAAUCGAAAAUAUCUAAAUAAUUUGCAUGUUUAAAAAUGUAAUUAAAUAAUUUAUAUAAAAAAAUUAAAACAUGUGCGGGCGCGCAGGUCAAACUCUAAUAUUACUUAAGUUUCUUACACAUUUUCAUGUAGGAUCUUCUCUGCAACGUAAGGUGCAUACAGUUUGGCCUCUUGUAUGUUCAAGGACAUGUAGAGGAUAGAACAAUGAUGUCGUCAAUAGUUUUGAUGCUCGGAAGUAAAGCAGCAUUGAUUACUCACCCUAAGCAGCAAGGAUAUUGUCUCGGCAGCGGAACUUCUCUUGAUACUUAUUCUUCUAUUUGGAGUAAACGGCAUGACGAUGAAUCUUUCACAUUGAACCAAAUCACCAUGUCGACUCUCGGUGAUAUGAUAAUAUAUAUUCAUCAUCUGAUACUCCCUCGUUCUGGGUUCGUUAUUUCAAAUUAAUUCACUUUCAGCAAUAUUAUAAACCAUCUCAACACUAGAAACUUCCUCUACCUAAAUAUUAUGUUUUUAUUAUGUUUUUGUAAGGUCAAGAACUAGGAAACCCCAAACAUUAUUCCCAUAACAUUUAGUUUUAAGUCCGUAUAAAGCAAUAAUAUCCAAAAGUACAAGAAACUAACAAAAGCAUCAGUAACGGAAAAUAAAUAAAAGCCGAGGAGAGACAUAAAAAGCUUAUGUUUAGUUGAUGAUGGAUCCAUAAUGACCCAUGUUUCCUCUUUUCAUAACACCGCCAAUAUAUCACAGACAAUGCAAUUAUGCAAAUUAUAGGAAUUGCCCAUCUAUUCACCCAAAAAAAAACAUAAUUAGAUAAGCACAGAGGUUGAAAGAAGUUUAGUCAGGACCAGUGGCGGAACCAGACCACACGUCUAGGUGGGUUAAAUUUUCAUUAUUACCAUAUAUUAUAUGGGUCAAUAAGCUAAAUAUUACAUUUUCCGGUUUUUGUGCUUAAAUAUAAGUAAGAAAUAUUUCAACAUAAAAUUCAUCAGGGUCAAGUGACCCACGUCCCAAAGAGUUGGCUCCGCCACUGGUCAGGACUUGUCUUACCUAUCCAAGUCGAGAACAGGAUUAUACACAACAGUUUCCCAAGUCCCAACGAUGAAAUGCCAGAAGACUGGGUUUAGAAAAGAGAUUCUACUGUCCAGAACAUCCUUGUGUAUGUAUCCAAGAAUAUAAAGAGUAUCCAUGCGCCGCCAUUUUUAACAAAAUGAACUUUAUAAUGAACCGUCCCACCACUACCAUUACUAGAGAGAGCACAACCAGCCAGUUGAACAGCCUGUUAUUGUAUUCUUUGAUGAACAAUGACUGUGCCUUCCCCAUCAUCUGCACACAAGCUGUUCUUUCCAAAUCUGAUUUUGGUGUGUGUAUAUUAUUACCUUGGUUAACCUUUGCUCAUAGUUUUGUUUCGAUGGACCGCCACAUUGUUUUUCAGAACUUUGGUUGCAGUACAUGAAACCUGCAUUGAAUUUAGCCAUGGAAGGGAGUCGGAGAGCUUGUAAGUGGUCCAUGUCGUCUUCACACUUUGUAUAUUGUGCCUCAUAGAGCUUUGUCUAUUGGUUGUUUUUAUGCAUAUAUCGAGAAAUCUAAAAUUUUUGAAAAAGAGUUUUGGUCAAAUUAGAUCCUUUUAUAUCGGAAUUUUAGAAGAUACAUAGCUUAAAUUAGAUAUGUUUCAGUUUUUUAACAUCUAUAAAUGUACUUCUAUUUCUUUGUAAUUUUAAAACACAUCUAGUUCAUUAUCUAAGAUGAAAAAUGUUUUUCAACCUUUGCUUAUUGGUCUCUUUAUGGUCACAGUUCUUAUGUUCAGUUGGUAUUUAUAUUUAUAAUUUUAUUAUUAUAUUCAAUAAUCAUUUAAAAUUAAAGUUAUUCUGACAUCAUAUUAUUUUAUGUACUGAUAUAAUUUUUAUAUUGAAUGCUACAAUUGGGUUUAGAAAUUUUUUCCAGAAUAAUCAAUGAUUAAGAAAGAAGAUGUUCAUACUUUAAGUUUUUUUCCCCUAUAAAUAUGCAAUAUGUUUUUCCAAAAACAUUAAUUUCUAUUAAAUAUGAAAACUAAAGUUUUGUUUUAACUAUCUAUAUAUAAUAGCAAACCAAAUUUUGUUCUCCUGUGACAUCAUCUUUUUUAUAGGAAAAAAAAAGACCGAUCCAAUGGUCAGAUUUUCUUUUCUUUAAUGAUCUAAUGGACAUAAAUCACUUUCGUUGAUGUCAUCAAAAAAUUAUAUUUGGUAACCUUUUAUUGAUCAGUUAUUUUUUAAACAAGACAACCUUUAAAAGCCAUACCUUUUCAUUAUCUAAACAACACAUCUUUUGACAAUUAUACCUUUAAUAUUUUUUUGAAAAAUUAUAUUUCUAAACAACACAUCCCUUGAUAAACAUACCUUUUCAUUAUUUAAACAAUACAUACCUCUAGAGUAGGAUUCUAUGUACCCUUCCAUGAUCUAUAUAUUGAAGUUUUACAGCAGAAUUAUUUUACCCUUUCAUGAUCUUUUACAUGUCUUUUACAGCAGAAUUAUUUUUACAUCGUGUUACUCAUUUUUUUCAAAUUUUUAAUUUCUGUUAAGGUAUGUUUUUGGUAUCUUCUUCUAGACUUAUUGAUUUAUGUUGACGACCGAAUAAUGAUGGUUGGAUUUUUAGUGGAUAUGUAUAUAUAGAAUAUAGGUCACAUGUUACAUGUAAGAGGGUAUUUUUGAAAAAUGAUGCAUUGUCGAAGAAGGACACAUCCUUUGGUAUCAUAACCAAUUUAGAUUUGUUUAAUUCACAGAAGUAAGUUAUGAACAUAUACGGUAUUAUCCUUUUUGAAGAGUGUUCAUAAUUUGUUUUCAUGAUACGGUAACUGAAAGAAAUUAUUAGAUUGAAGUGCCCUAAUGAUCUGCCAUUUCUUAAGGAAAUAAAAAGAUUAUUGUUGCAUGCAUAAGGGUGUGUUCAUGAUCUAUGCGCAUAUAUAUGGCAAUGAUAAACGUAGAAUACAAUAAUUAUUUAUGUUGGAUUAGAUUACAUAACAAACAUUGUUUACGUAAGAUAUUUGCUGGAACAAUUAGUUAAAACAAUUCUAUUCUUUUUCUUGUCGAGCAAUUCUAGACUGUUGUUUGUUCGUUGUUUUUUCUUUUCGACAAGAUGAAAAAUUAAUAUUGUUCAUGUGAUGAAAAGUCACCAAUGAAUUUAACAUUUUUUACCAAAAAAAAAGUCACCAAUGAGUGGUUUGCAUGAAAACAAUUUUCUGAAAAACUUUUGUAACGGCUAUCAGUAUAUUGGUGAAAAGUCACAAUUAAUAUUAUGGAAAGUUCAUGUCCAUAUUUUCUUUUAUGUAAAGUCACCAUUCGAAAUAUUCAAAAGUGACAGAUAAAAGAAUGAUCAUAUAACAAAUUUGGAAAUAAAUCUUAUUCGAAGUAACGGUUAUUGACGAUUCAUUGAGCGAUUGUCACCACCACCAGUUUCUCGUGUGAUCUCCGGCCGGCGUCGGCUCCUACGUUGGCUUUACUUUUCAUCUCUUUUGUUUGUUUGUAUAUAGUCUUUGUUUUCUAAUAAAUCUGAGCAAUGAAUUUGAGAUUUCUUUCACAAUUUCUCGUUCUUUGUCUCUCUCUCUUUAUGAGAGUCUCUCUCCGACCUUAUUUCGGCAAGGUUCCAUGAUGUAUUGCGUCGGUUUCACUCCGCUGAUAUGCUCUGCACGCAGCCGCGGUUGUUUCCAUUUUGAAACUUUUCAAUCUCAACACCCACAGUUAUGUCGGGAUUGUGAUUUACAUCUCCCAAAUUUGAGAUCUGGUUUUCAUCCAUGGGUUUGGGAUCCGGGAAUAUUUGGUUUUGAUGUUAGAGAUCGUGAAGUGGAAUGGAUGAAAGAGGUGCGUUGUUUCGUUGGAAUCCAUGGAAGAGUGCAAGUCUAUUUCGGAGUACCUCGGAUAAAGGACAUGCGUAACAUGGAUGACAAUACCAAAAAUCAUGAGCCUUGGCCCUGUUUUAUGUUUUCACGUGGACGACAAGAUUAUGCAACUGCAAGCCGCUUUUGAAAGGAUUAUUUCAUUGGAAAUGUUCUAUGAUGGUGUUUAUUAUCUUUGGAAACAAUUAUGAGAGAGAGAAAAUUGAAGAGACAGCAAGUCAGUCUACGACAACUUGGAAUCAAAUUGUCAAUCCACUAAAAAUGGUGAGGCUAUUGAAGAGUAAGUGGAAGUCAUCAAAGAUCAAAAGAAGAAGGAUGAUGUUGCCAAAGGUAUUCACAAUUUAUAUUUUGAUACAAUAUAUUUGGUAUCAAAAUAUUUAGCGGAACUCUUGUAGAAGAAGGCAAUACAUAGAAGAAGAUGUACUCUCUUUCUUGUAUGGCGAUAUCCAUACAAUCGUUGACAAUUGGCCUUGUGAAAUUUUAUUUCUUACGGUUGAAUCAAUAAAUUGGAUUAUAAACCGAAGAAUAUAUAUAGAUCUAAAUUGUAGCAAGACCAGUGUAAUACAACAAAGAGAAAUGGUGUUCAUAAUGGGACAAAGAAUCAGAGAUCGUAAAUGUAGUUGGAUGUUCUCAGCAUUUUACUUUUGUAAUUUGUUGUUUUUCAUAAAUAUGUAUGUAUUUGUGAAUAUGUUUAUUAUCUGAUUAAUAAAUUUAUGUUGCUAAAAAAAUAAAAAUAAAAAUAAAAAUAAAAAAAGAAUGAACAUAUAAUAUUAGUUUUUAGUUAUUUGAUAAACUGUCAUGGUUUAUGAAAAGAUUUAAAUGAUUAAAUAAUAAUUAAUUAUAAGGUUAAAGUGUUCAAUAAAGUUUCAUGAACACAUAGUCGUAUAAUAUUUUAUUUAUUAAAAUAUUAUUAAUAAAUAUGAAUUUAAUUUUGAAGAAUGCCUUUUUUUUUUAAAAAAAAGUUAAUUUAAAAUAUAUUGUAAACAACAAAUAUUUAGUCAAUCAAUCUUUUUCAGUACUUUCGACAAACCAUACUAAAUCAUUAUAAUCACCACAUCUCAUUAGAUGUGUUUUUGCUUAUUAUUUAUCUGAUUAUUGUCUCAUUAUUAAGUAGAAAAAUUUAAUGUCAUCAUUUUCUAUAUAAAAUUUUUGAAGGACAAUUCUCUCAAAUAGCAUUUUAAAGUUUUUGUCAUCAAAAUAGCCCUAAAAAUAUUAAAAAUCAUCAAAAUAAUCUUAUUUACCACCCUAUGUUUUUUUUGAAACACACAACCCUAUAUUUUUAAUCUUAAUAAAUAUUAACUAAAUUAUGAUUUAUACCUUUCUUUGGUUUUAAAAAUUUAAAAUAUCUUUGUCUUCUUGAAUCUACCCCAAUAAUAAUGAUUAAAUAUUAGAACUUUUCUGCUUUAUUUUAAUUUUCUUGUAACGAAUACCAAAAACAUAAAGAAAAAUAAUAUGAAAACCCUUUGAAAAACAAUAUUAUAACUAUUACACUUUGCUGAAAUAAUUAACUGAAAAAAGUAAAAAUAACAAAGUUUAACAAACUAUUAUGUCCGGAUUUGGAACGAUUCAUUUAAGAUUCAGAUCAGUUCGAGCCUAUAGUAAAAUACCGGUAAAAUAUCUAUAAUUUAUGUGUAUCAUGUCAAGGUAUUUAAGACCAGAAAAAGAUUCAAGGUACCCAAACUUCAUCAAAAUUUAGCCAAAACUCAUCAUAUAUUUAAAAUUUUGCAAAAUGACCAAAAACAAUUUAUUAAAAAUUGAAAUUAAAACUUUUCUAACUCUAAAUUUUACACUUCAGAUUUUCUAUUACUUGAAAAUGUUAUUAAAAUAAUAUUAAAUAUGAUGAAAAAAGAUUCUAAAUUAGAAAAUAAUUAUUUUAAUUUCAGUGACCAAAUUUAUAACAAAUCAAUAGUUUCUUUUAGACACUGCAUUAAAAAAAGUACUUCAUCGUAUUUCAUGUAUUGAAAAUUUGCAUUUUUAUGUAUAUCAUUUUCUUUUUAAAUAAUUAUAUAUAUAAUUAUUAGUUUAAAUUAUAUUUAAAAUUUAAUAUUGUUUUCCCCCGCAAACUGCAGGGGUCCAAACCCUAGUUAUAAUAACAGGAGCAAUGACGAUUGCUCAAAAAGGAGGACCACCACCUCCUUGUGCACUCAUAUACAGGCCGAAAAAUGGAAAAUGUAAUAGGGACAUUUGUCAAGCUGAAUGUACCAGAGAAAGGAAUGGAACUGGUACAUGCAUGGGCCCGCAACUGGCGGAUUGCGCAUGCAUAUAUCAAAGACAUAAAAAUAAUAAGUGUUUACCUUGAUUUUUUUUAUCUACAUUGGAACUCAAAUAAUAUUUAUAAUAAUACACGCCUUUAUCAGAGAAAAAAUAAUAAUAUUAUUAAUUGUUAUUAGUGUUUGUGGCAUAAUAAAUUGUAUUAUGUUACCAAAUAUAAAUAUAAAUAACAAAGAUUAAUAUGUCGUUCGUCUUUUAACUUUUUUUUCUUAAAUUGUAUUAUGUUACCAAAUAUAAAUAUAAAUAACAAAGAUUAAUAUGUCGUUCGUCUUUUAACUUUUUUUUCUUCGGUAGCGUGAAUUAACAAAUAUUAUAUUAUAAUUAGUACUCAUUUCAUAUAAAUUUGAAAGAAAAAAUAAUAUUUUUUUUAAUUUUUACCGUGUAGGAAUCUCACCGAGAAAAAUGAUUUUAUUAUGUUUUUUAAAAUAAAAAUAUUUUAUAUUUUAGUUAGUGAAGGUUUAAACUUAAAAGUACCGGUGAAUAUCCAACACGAAACUAUUUAAAUCCCAAUGGAAGUACACAAUUAUAUUUCAUUGUAAGACGAAUAAAGUUUUGAGAAAUUUCUUGAAAUACGCUAAGUUGGAUACAAAUUAAUCAAAAAUACAAUUUAUCGAAAAAUAUUAUAAUAUUUGGGUUUUAAAGUUUAGUGAGUAUUGUUUAGAAAUUAUUAUUUAGAGGGUGAGGUUGAGUUUAUAAAAUUUUAUAAAAUUUCUUAAAACAUUUAUAAAUGAUUUAUGAGAGUUAAUUUUUUUUUAUUUUCAUAAUAAACAUAAGUUAUUUAUUAAAAUUAUUAUCAUUUAAAUGUAAAUUUGAAAAGUAAUAUCAAGGUAAAGUUAGAAUUUCCUCUAAAUUUUUAAUCUAGUGUAUAUAUGAAAACAUGCAUGUGACCUCUUUAAAAAUUGAUUUAUAUGUUACUACUAUAUCAUACAUUAGUUUUUUAUUUUUUUAAUAUCCAUCACAUCUCUAUAUUAUUAUAUGCAAAGUGAUUUUUCACAUUCUACCUGUGAUGUUAAAAGUUAAAGUGAUUAAUAUUGUUUACACUUUUAAUGAAUAGUUAUGGAAAACAUAUUAGGUCAAUUAGUUUUAAUGAAACAUGUGAAAGUACUUUAUCAUACAUACAAUAAGUAAAAGGGGAAUAAGAUCAAUAGCUAGGGUGUCCACGUCAGCAAUUAAAAUCAUCCAAUGGGGUUGGUUCUUUCCUCCACGUCAAACCGAAAUUGGGUUGAUUUUGGGCUGUUAAUUUUUUUCGAUCCGUGAAAAGGUAAGAAGCCCAAAUCUGGGAAAAACUUAUAAUGUCGACAUCUCAUCUCGUCGCUCUUUAGUAACCCUAAAACGGCCAGGCAUGAAUCUCUUCGACAUCUCAUCUCUUCGCCCUUUCCCCUUCUUCUUUUAACUAAGAUGCUUGACCAUUUGCUGUGCCUCUUUGGAUAUCACGAUCUAUUCAAACUCCGAUCAAAGCAAGUGUAUCGGUUUCAGUUUUCACUUUGAUUUCCUUGAAGCCCUAACUAGAAAUCUGACAAUAGAUCCACUGUACAAUCCUCCUUCCAUGGAAACCCUUUCCUGUGUUUGUGCUCAAUUCCAAGAUGGGAGGCCAAUGAGUAUUCUUUGAAGCUUAUUCAGAUGAUGAAGCAUACACUGGCAGAUAGUAUGUCUUCAUGAUGUAUCCCUUUCUUUGGUAUUUUCUUUUGCUUUAUUUUAAAAAUCUUUUGAAUUUCAGUUAUAUAAUCCUUAUUCGUUAUGCUAAUGGUAUUAGGGGAUUUUUUGGAACCAAUGUAUUACAUUUAGCUGACGUGCUUUUGUAAUAUCAACGAGAUUAAGAUUGAAGAAGUAAAGUACAUCAAUCUUACAUUGUCGGCGGUAGCUAUAUUAGUUAAUGUCGGUUUGGUUUUCUUUCUGAUUCGAUCUCAUACAUUAAACUCACAAACAAAAUUAACUUGGUUUGGUUUGUAGUUGGGAAUGGGAUUGAUUAGGUUUUGGACAGUCCAAGGAAGUGGGGACAUCGUUGAUAAAGACAGCAAGAAAUGCGUGUCAACGUGUUCAAGUUCAUUGCAUUUUUCAUAAGAGACUAUAUGCGUAUACAUAUACAAUGUACAUGUUCUUUCUCAAAUAUAUUAUGCAUUUUGGAUCAAAGUAAACGCAUUAUCUACUUUUAUAGAUGUUGCUUGAUUGUCAAUUUCAAACCACCCAAGUAGAUUAGGCGCUUCUGAUAAGCUUUCAGACUCUCUUUGUAUCUUACAGCUAUUGAUGGAAACUCAUUAGUCUUCAUGAUUCUGUUUUUUUGGAAGAUUACAAGCUGAGGAAUCUCAUGAGGAUUUUAAGAUGUUGCGUUGAACUGAUGGAAAAGAUGUUGAUAUAAAAUUUUCUACCAAACAAGCGUGUACAUUUUCAUAUUCGGUAGGUGCUUACUUUUUUGUAUCCUGUUUCAAGUUUCUUUUACGAAAAAAAUAGUGACUUUAAUUUCUUUCCCUAUUAUCAAUUAGAUGUAGAGCAUAGACCCUUUGGAUUGCCCAAAACCGAUAUACAUAAUCCAAGGGAAAGGAAGAGGGAAGGCUCCAACCGUAGAGGAUAUGAGUCGUGAGGAUCAGAAAGAAGUCUGAGGCAGAUCUCAGCGCUAAUUCUUAUCUACUAUCCCAGGGGACAAAGCUUGCUUAUGGUUCUUUUGAUCAAACGGUGCGUAUUUGGACCAUUGAACCUCACACUGAUCUAAUAUCUCUGUCUUACGCUUAAUUAUAAACGUUUGUUUCUUUGUGAUUUUACAACUGCGAAAAUUUAUAUAUGUUUUUGCUAUUAGUGUAGUUUCCAUUGAGUUUUUGAGGCAUAUUGCAUAAAUGUUGGUCUUGAUGACCUUUUAUUAAUCUAACAGAUGACAAAAAAAAAACUAGAAUCACUUUCAGCGUAACAUCAAUGAACUCUCAUAUUAAACAAACCCGUGAUUAUUUAUUCUAUUAUUAAGAAAAGCAAUCUGAUACAAGAUUGAUAGAUUAAUUAUCAUUAUAUUUAAAAAUAAUAUGAGUUUCUCAGCAACUGAUGCAUUUGUUUCAAGUGGUCUCUCUGCAAUAGGUAGCAAGUAUAUCAACAUACGUAUAGUUUGAUGUUCGUUACUUUGUUUUACUUAUCUCUUUUAGUGUUUCUAUACCUGAUUUUGUUUUUUUUACUGAGAUUUUUUGACAAUUUAAGAAUGAAACUGAGAUGUGUGUCUGAUAUAUAUGACAGGGAAACCUGGUUACGAUUAUCAAAGCUUUAUAAGAUUAUGUUCAUAGCAAAGCUUAAGCUUGGAAUCUACUCUGAUGCUGAGUAUAUGUAUAUACACAACUGCCACUCAUUAUUAUGGUUCAUAAGAGAUCAGAGAUCGCUGGUGAUAUAGAUUGGUGCCAGUUUCAUCUUUUGCGACGUAUCUCCUUGAUGUUUGAAUGAUCAUAUUGAUACAUAUAAGCCGAAGGAGGGAACAUACGACUUGGUAGCAACCAGAGAUAUCUCAUUACAGAACAAGUUCCAUACAGAAGGAAUGGAAUCUAUAGAGAUAACUACUCUAGAAGAUGAGAACGAGAUAAAAAUCGUUCUUGCUGAGUCCAAGGAAAGGAAGCCAGCGAGGAAAUGGUGGAGCUACUGAAGCAGUUGCAGCAAGCAACUCAAGAAGCUGAUGAAGCGAGAUCAUCCUGGCCUUGCUUGUGAAAAGCUGCGAAUGUUUUGAGAAGAGGCAAAGGAAGAAAAGGCUCGACCAGGUACAAUUGAGAGCAGUUUAUUUGCAGCUAAGAAGAAAUUGAGGCUGCUAAAGAUUUUUAGAGGUUGGCAUUAGCUGCUGCCAUCAAGGUUUUCGAGAGCGAACAUGCUUUCAAGUAAAACAAUGUUGAUUGUCCGUCAAGCCUAACACUGUCACUAACAGAGUAAUAUGAGCUUAGCAAGUGUACUCAUGAGGCUUAAGAAAAAGCCAACACAAGGGUUGCAGAAAUUCUGAGAUCGAGGUAGCCAAAGAAACAAAGAAAAUAAGCAAAGAGAGGUUGGAAUAAAUAAACAAAGAUAGGGUUUGGGAAAAUGGAGACACUCGCAGAAGCAACUAAGUAGGCUAAGAAGGCUAAAGAAAGAAGUUUGGUGUAGAGCAAGAGGCAAAAAAUGGAGGAAGAACAUGUAGUAAAGAGAAAGAUUGGUGAUAAUUGAGCGAACAUUGAGAAUAUUCAAAGGAAGGUCUUAUGGGACGAAGCUGCUGCAAUGUUUCGGGUACAUUACCGGAAAAAAAACAGUAGCUUAAAAAUUCAAAGGAUACCAAAAUAGAAAUAAAGGAAUAACAAUCAUAAACAAAUUUCGUUAACUUCUUAUCUUUUUUUGCUUAAUGUACAUUUUAAUAUUAAGAAAAAGCUAAUUUUGAGUUCUAUUUUAAAACUUUUACAAUUAUUUAUAUAAAAUUAUAAUAUGCACAUUAUAUAUGAAAUAAGAGUUUAAAUUAAAUUACAUUUUUUGAAAAUAGCCCGGGACCGUCUCUAGUUCACAUAAAAGAAAAAAAGAUAUGCAUCAAUAUUAAAUACAAAAAAAAAACAAAUAGGGCCAUGAUAUUCAUUUAUUCACGGGAAUAUCGAUGAUAAAAUAACCACAAGCUCUCUACGAGCAUUAACCAAUGUAUCAAUCGUGUCCAUCCACGUGUCAACGAUUCACAGCCUCAUCAUCAUCACUCCAUCGGUCUUCUUCUUCAUCAUCCUUGUCCAGUUUUCUGGCGAAAGCAUCUCAACGGUCAAAAAUGCUUCUCAAGAUGGUUUCUUCGUCUUCCGCUGCUCGUGAGUUUCCAUGGCGGAAUCAAGGACGUUUCUCCUGUGGAAAAUCUGAAAAACUCUCCGUCUCUGUAAGCGGCGUCGUUUUCCUUCGCGUAUUCGAAUUUGACGUGCAUACAGUUUGGCCUCUUGUAUGUUCAAGGACAUGUAGAGGAUAGAACAAUGAUGUCGUCAAUAGUUUUGAUGCUCGGAAGUAAAGCAGCAUUGAUUACUCACCCUAAGCAGCAAGGUUAUUGUCUCGGCAGCGGAACUUCUCUUGAUACUCAUUCUUCUAUUUGGAGUAAACGGCAUGACGAUGAAUCUUUCACAUUGAUCCAAAUCACCAUGUCGACUCUCGGUGAUAUGAUAAUAUAUAUUCAUCAUCUGAUACUCCCUCGUUCUGGGUUCGUUAUUUCAAAUUAAUUCACUUUCAGCAAUAUUAUAAACCAUCUCAACACUAGAAACUUCCUCUACCUAAAUAUUAUGUUUUUAUUAUGUUUUUGUAAGGCCAAGAGCUAGAUACCCCGAACAUUAUUCCCAUAACAUUUAGUUUUAAGUCCGUAUAAAGCAAUAAUAUCCAAAAGUACAAGAAACUAACAAAAGCAUCAGUAACGGAAAAUAAAUAAAAGCUGAGGAGAGACAUAAAAAGCUUAUGUUUAGUUGAUGAUGGAUCGAUAAUUACCCAUGUUUCCUCUUUUCAUAACACCGCCAAUAUAUUACAGACAAUGCAAUUAUGCAAAUUAUAGGAAUUGCCCAUCUAUUCACCAAAAAAAAACAUAAUUAGAUAAGCACAGAGGUUGAGAGAAGUUUAGUCAGGACCAGUGGCGGAACCAGACCACACGUCUAGGUGGGUUAAAUUUUCAUUAUUACCAUAUAUUAUAUGGGUCAAUAAGCUAAAUAUUACAAUAUUUUCCGUUUUUUGUACUUAAAUAUAAGUAAGAAAUAUUUCAACAUAAAAUUCAUCAGGGUCAAAUGACCCACGUCCCAAAGAGUUGGCUCCGCCACUGGUCAGGACUUGUUGUUACCUAUCCAAGUCGAGAACAGGACUAUACACAACAGUUUUCCAAGUUCCAACGAUGAAAUGCCAGACUGGGUUGUAUAAAAGAGAUUCUACUGUCCAGAACAUCUUUGUGUAUGUAUCCAAGAAUAUAAAGAGUAUCCAUGCACCGCCAUUCUAAACAAAAUGAACUUUAUAACGCAACCAGCCAGUUGAACAGCCUGUUAUUGUAUUCUUUGAUGAACAAUGACUGUGCCUUCCACAUCAUCUGCCCACAAGCAUAAUUAACCGUUUAAUGUAAAAUUCUCACAUACGUGUUCUUUCCGAAUCUGAUCUCGGUGUGUGCAUAUUAUUACCUUGGUUAACCUCUGCUCAUAGUUUUUUUUCGAUGGACCGACACAUAGUUUUUCAGAACUUUGGUUGCAGUACAUGAAACCUGCAUUUAGCCAUGGAAGGAGUCGGAGAGCUUCUAAGUGGUCCAUGUCGUCUUCACACUUUGUAUAUGCCUCACAGAGCUUUGACGAUUGGUUGUUUUUAUGUAUAUAUCGAGAAAUAUUUUAAAUACAUUAAAAAUGACCAAUUCAACUUUUUUAUCUAUAAAAAAAUCUAAAUUUUUGAAAAAGAGUUUUGGUCAAAUUAGAUACUUUUAUAUCGGAAUUUUAGAAGAUACAUAGCUUAAAUUAGAUAUGUUUCAAUUUUUUAUUCGUCUAUAAAUAUACUUCUCUUUCUUUGUAAUUUUAAAACACCUCUAGCUCAUUAUCUAAGAUGAAAAAUUCUUUUCAACCUUUGCUUAUUGGUCUCUUUAUGAUCACAGUUAUUCUGUUCGGAGUAAUGACGAUUGCUCAAAAAAGAGGACCACCACAUAAAUUUUAUCCUUGUUCAGUCAAAUACCAAUCGAAAAAUGGAGACUGUACUAAGGACGAUUGUAAAGCUGAAUGUACCAGAAAAAAAAAUGGGAUUGGUUCAUGCAUUGGCCCGCCGGGGAGGAGGUGGUGCGCAUGCGUGUAUCAAAAACAGAAAAAUAAUAAGUGUUACCCUAACACUUGAUUUAUUUUAUCUACGUUGGAACUCAAAUAAUAUUUAUAAUAAUACACGCCUUUGUGAGAGGAAAAAUAAUAAUAUUAUUAACUGUUGUUAGUGUUUGUGGCAUAAUAAAUUUUAUUAUGUUACCAAAUAUAAAUAUAAAUAACAAAUAUUAAU
Brassica napus (rape) is the source of this 13542-nucleotide long non-coding RNA. RefSeq lists it as uncharacterized. The transcript is spliced from 4 exons. The record is from RefSeq and is a predicted model, not a curated record. Lineage: Eukaryota; Viridiplantae; Streptophyta; Magnoliopsida; Brassicales; Brassicaceae.